AUGCUCAGUGAAUGAUUUGUUGAUUGCAGCAUAUAGAGCUUGUUUCCCCUCCACCUCCGGAAGCUGCAAUUGCUAAGUUUGAUGUUGUUGGUCCUGUAUGGCAUUGGUUUGGUAGUUCACGAUGCAGGUGCUUACUGCAUGAGUAUGGCAUCAACUUACAAUCUCAAGAUGCGCCCACCAGAGAACUGGGUGGAAGAAGAUGAAUCACUGUCCAAAAUCCGUCAUGGGGAGACAUUCGAAGACCAUUUAAGAUUGUUUGAAGGUCUGUAAAAUAAUGGUUUCUUUUAAGCACUUAAACAUGACAGGAUGUGAGACUCAGAAAUUCCUCUGGUAGUUUGGUUCCUGUUAGUGUUGACAAUUCUGUAUUUGAAUUGUUCCAAUUAAUGGAUUUUCCCCAUGACUU
This is a long non-coding RNA of Solanum lycopersicum (tomato), 403 nucleotides long. RefSeq lists it as uncharacterized. The record is from RefSeq and is a predicted model, not a curated record. NCBI's taxonomy places the organism in Eukaryota, Viridiplantae, Streptophyta, Magnoliopsida, Solanales, Solanaceae.